This 450-nucleotide long non-coding RNA is filed under the name Scleropages formosus (Asian bonytongue). Its description in RNAcentral is "lncRNA (ENSSFOG00015027360.1)". The record is from RNAcentral. Lineage: Eukaryota; Metazoa; Chordata; Actinopteri; Osteoglossiformes; Osteoglossidae.
CGUCCGGGAUCACGACCUUCUGCCGGGACCGACCCGUGUGCCGCGAGGAACCCGACUAAGGGGGCAACCCUCCUAGGUCUAGGGGACCUGCUGGUGACCGAGCCCGAGCAAAAGUUAGGGCUGGCCCGUCCUGCGGUGCACCGAUCGACUCGGACAGAAUACGUGACACAGCUGCAGCGUGCUGUGCAGUGCAACCGUGUGGGCUGUGUCAAGUUGGGAGGCACCCUUACCUCACCGCAGCGCGUCAUCAUCCAGCAGCCAAGCGGUGUACUGCAAUAACACCUGCAGAGACAACAGUCCCAAUACUGGAGAUGCGAUGUUGCCACCUUCUUCGGUCACAGUGACAGUUGCCCCGAGCUUCGCAAGCAGGUCGCGGCCCAGCAGCUUCACCGGACAGCGGUUACUAAGGAGAAACGAACGGUUAGUCACAGAAAUGUCUUCUGUCACUCC